GACAGGGAUGACCAAUCUCUUUUUCCAGUCAUGGGGAAUGGUACCUGAAUGCCAUAGAGCAGUCAAGACAGCAUGCAACCCAAGCAUCAUGGCCUCACCCCCUGCUUUGAGCAGCUCCACACUGAUGUUACAAAUGCCAGCUGCCUUUCCACCCCUCAACUUUGCCACAGCCUCUUUGACAUCAUCAAUGGAGGGUGCAUUUUCAUCAAUGGGUGGAUUAGCAUCCAGCAUCUGUAACCCUGCAGUUUGGAGCUAUACACUUGGAGGAUCCACCGUGAACAGCUGCUUAAAGUACUUAGCCCAACAAGCCAUCUGCCCAUCUGCGUCUGAUAUGAGGUGGCCAUCUGCUGUUUAGAUUGCGCUUGUUUGAGAUGUAGACUUUGAGCAGAGUUUCUUCAGGGCUUGAUAUGCAGGUUGGAGGUCAUUAGCAUUUAAAUGACACUCUACAUCUUCAAUGAGACCCCUGACAUACCUCUCCUUGUCUCUCCUCAGGAGAGCUUUAGUCCUACAUGACAGAGCCCUGUACUGGUCGUGGUUCCUAGGAAGUCUAGCAGCAUGACUCUCCUCAAUACUGUCCAGCAUCUCUACCGAGGUGAAGCCACUCUGUCACCGUGGGCGCUCCCCAUUGCAUUCCUUGGCAGCCUCAAGAGUCUCACAUUUGAAGAGCCAACAAGGACAAGAAUGGAGCCAGAAAGUAUGGAGGUGGAUUCAACAAAAGACAACAGGCUUGAGCCAGAAGAAAAACAGGACAGUGCUGUAGAAAAGGAGACAACUGAGGAAGACCAUUCAACUGCUGCAGAAAGUGAUGAACAGUGUGAUAUGUCUUCUGCAGGUGUUGGUGUGGUGAUCAUGGAUGGAGACUUGACCCCAUCAGAGAUUAUUGAUAUUGAUAAAAGUGUUUCAGAGCAGCAGUGCAGUGAAGGCAAUGACAUCCAGGAUCAGGAAGGCAACAAUGACGAGCAAGCAAAUCCUCUUAGUACUGCAGAUGAACAAGAGAACACAGACAAGCCAGAAUUGGAGGCUGAUGCAGUGGAGAUGUCCAGUGCUGAAGAGUCAAAUAGUGAAGGCAAUUGCUUGGUGUCAAAAGUCACAGAAAAUGACACCUCAUUGGAUAAACAGUCUGUGGUCUCAAGUUCAGGUGAGAGAUCUGAAGUGACUGAAACACAGGAGGGGGAGACAUGUUCAGGGGAUGCUGAUGGCAAUGCUGGUGCUGGUGCUGAUGCUGAUGCUACACAGAAAGCAAGUGUGGAGAGUAUUGUUGUGGGUAAAGAGGAUGACAAUGAAGACAUAGUUGAGCUCCCAGUUCAUAGAAAGCCAGCUGUACUUGUUGACUUGUCAGAUGAUGAUGAAAAUGUUGAUAAGAAUCAGAAAAAAAAGCAAAACAAAGAAUGUAAUGAUGACUUAAGUGUUAUGGAAGACAAGGCAGCUAGCAAUGAAAGCAAGAAAAUCAAACUUCGCUCUUUGGCUUCACUUGUGGAUGUUGCUGGAGGGGACGACGUGCCACACCCGGACAUUCCAGGCAUUGGAGAGAUAGUGGAGCACGGUGUGAUCAUUGGCUCAGAAGAGAUGGAUGGCCUUCAGUUGAGAAUCUCCAAUGUGGUGGGUGGUGAGGACUGCAUCACAGGUCUCACUGUAGACGAGGACCGUGACGCCUUCUCCAGCAUUCAGAUCUCCUCUGUGACGACACUCAUUGACCCCAUAAGCCCUGAGGACCCUAACCAGAUAGACAACAGUGAUGAGAACCACAUGGUGGAUGAAGAGAAUGAAAAGGAAAUUGAAGAGAAUCUGCCAUGUCGUCUUGUGAGCAGCACCUCAACUGCUGAGCCUCAGAGCAGCAGUGCAGGAACAGCGGCCAGUGACAGUGUGGACCUGACAAAGGAUGAUGGAAAGAAGUCUGCAGAAAAAAAUGACGAUUCCUCUGAGACAGAAAAGUCUUCAAAUAGAAAAGAUUUGACUGACUCAGGAUCAGCAGGUCCCAAAAUCCGACUAAGCACAGCUGCGACGGAAGUUGGAAAGGAUGCAGGGAGCAAGGAUGAGAGCAGCCCACCCCGCCACGUGUACCACAUCCUGCGCAGCAUUCUCACUGUAAAGAGAGAAUGCGUCCUAUGUUCCAGGAAUGUCCAGUGUCAAUUCAGAAUUGUUAAGAAGGAUGAAAAUGGAACAUGGGCCUUCCUGUGUUCAACAUCAUGCCGUGCCAAGUGGACCUCUGGACUGAUGCCCAAUCAUGUAGUGGAAAAACCUCGUCUGAUAUUUGAGAAGUUGUGUGGGAUGUGUGGGAAGGAUCUAGCCAGUUUAGCUCGUGAUGGACAAUACUCCUGGGAAACAAGGGAAUUUUGCUCAAAGGACUGUUUAACUCAGCAUCUGAAUGAAGUGGCAGGCGUGUGUCACAUGUGUCAUGAAAAGGUGCGCCUGAUACUCAUUGGGAAAUACUGUGUCCGAUUUGGGUCUGACAUACACCAGUUUUGCUCCAAUCAUUGUCUUGAAUGCUACAAAACCAAGAUAAAAGUUUGCUGUUACUGUCAAAAGAAUCUUGAAACUGUCGCAAAAGUUACAUCUAUUUCAAAUAAAGAAUACUGCAGCUCAAAAUGUUUAAAGCGGGCACAGCGAAGGGACAUUGGCCAACAGAACCACACUGACCAGUAUCCUUGUACAGUGUGCCAGAUCAUCAGCCUCAAUCGAUAUGAGUUUGUCACCAAUCAGGAAUCUUACCAGCUGUGUUCAGAUCCUUGCCUCAAUGUCUACAAAUAUGCAAAUAAAGUCAAAGCAGUUCCCUGUUGCUUAUGCUUCCGCGUGAUGAAUGCAGAGGACGUGGCACACUACCUGUACCACGGAGGCCAUCAGCUACGGGUGUUCUGUUCAGAUUCCUGUGUGAAUGUAUUCAUCUUGUCUGCUCGAAAAAUUGUUGUCUGUGAGGCAUGUAAGGUUAAGAAAUACAACUUUGACAUGAUUCAUCGACAAGUUGAUGAAGACUUCAGAGACUACUUCUUCUGUUCAUUAAACUGUCUCGACUGUAAAGAACCAAUUGUCAAUGGGAAGAAAAGCAAGAAUGGAGGGACUGCAGCAGCAUCACCAAAAAGUGGGUCUGUCACAUCAAAUGUUGUCUCUGAUCAACCUGUCACCAAUUGCAACAUGUGCAAUGCUAUGGCCAAGGCUCAGUACCACAUGGUCAUGUCUGACAACACACUCAGAAGUUUUUGUCGCUAUGCCUGUGCUUCCAAAUACAAAAAUACUUUUGGAUUCCAAGUGAAUGGAAUUCAGAGUUCAGACUCUUCUGAGAACAGCAAUUCAGUUCCAGUUUUGCGAGAGAAAGUCCUUCAAAAAACUCCUUCAAGUCAACCAGAAGAACCAGAAAACACUUCUCAAACCAAGAAAAAAAUUGUCUGUGAUGCAGCAGAGGACGUCAGUUCUGUGACGGCAGAGCUAUUGAGGCUUCUCACACCACCUACCAUGGUGAACAAGACAACCUCCUGUCGACCACACACCACCACCAAAGGAGUCUACUGCAAACCUCACCCGUGGCACAGGCAAACACAAACAGAGUCUUCAGAUACCGAUUCUAAGGCACCAGCUGUGCUACCUGUGCCAGUGCCCAUCUAUGUCCCCACACCCAUGAUGACGUAUAGCAUGCCGUAUCCAGUGCCAGUGUUUGUUCCUAUACCACUCCCAGUUCCUAUCUUUAUUCCAACCACUGCCAGAACCACCACUGAUAUUGCAAAAAUGAUGAAUAAAAUUCAAGAUGAAAUGCCAGAAGACCCAUAUGAAGCGGAAAUGGUGAUGUUGGCUCGUGCAUCCAGUGAGAGUAUAGAGGCAGAGACGCCAGCGGAGAAAACACAGAAAAAUCCUUCACCACCCACUGCUUGUGAAAACCCAGCUGUCAUUGAUGAACUCAAAGAUGUAGAUGUGUCUUGCCUUGACACUGUGGAGGAUGACAUUCCAAGAUUAUCACUAAAACCUUCAGAUGCUACAAACAUUGUGAACUCCAUGACAGAAGCUGAGAAUGUUGAUUCAGAAGAAGAAGGUGAAGAGCAGAAUCGCAAAAAACGAAAAUUGCAGCAUGAAGAUGGUAAUCCCAAGAAGAAAAUGUUACUAAGUGGGAGCCAUGAGCCUGCGUCUGUCAGUGAUCCUGAGAGGGAACCCCAGUCAACCUCAAGUCUGAGUGCUGUUCACCUAGAAGAGGAGUACCCAGACACCUUUCUCAAUAUUUAACCCGUCCAUGGUCGUUGACAAGAUAUCUCACGUAAUACAGUACAUUGGUUACAUUAAGUUGUGAUAAGAUAACUCAUCGUUUGGCACAUUUCAUUAUUGAUCAUUAUUAUUAUUAUUAUUAUUAUUAUUAUUAUUAUUAUUAUUAUUAUUAUUAUUUAUUUAUUUCAUUUUUUUAUGUAUGAGGGGAACUGGCCAAGGGCAACAAAAAUUGUGAUUGAAAAAAAACAAGGCUCACUGAACAGGGUGAAAUGAAUGGGAUAAAUGUGUAGAAACCAUCCUCUUAAAUGAGUUUAUGUCAUAGGAAGGUGGAAAACAAAAGGAUGCAAAGACUUCCAGACUUUGCCAAAGAAAGUGAUGAGUGAUUGAGAACAUGUAAUGGUUAACUCUUGCAUUGGAGAGAUGGACAGAGUAGGGCUGAGAGAAAAAAGAGAGUCUAGUCUGGGGAGACUGUGGGAGGAGGGGAGACAUGCAGUUAGCAAGAUCAGAAGAGCAACAUUACGGCAUUCAGAAAGAGACUGAAGACAUUCAGACGGAGGAGAGGAACUCCUUGUCUGAAAAAAGCUUUUGAUUCCAUCCUAUCUAAUGUGACAGUAGUAUAAGUGGAACUCAUCCAUAUAUGUAAAGCAUAUUUCUUACAUGGAUGGAUAAGGCUCCUGUAUAGAUUGGGCAUGAGAAAAACUGGCAGAGGUGACUUAGGGACAUUUUUUGGUCCCCUUCACAGAAAGGGACCCUGAGGCUGGUGUAGGAGUCACCAUAUCUUAUUUUGAAUUUUGAGUGAAGGGUGUGUGUGUGUGUGUGUGUGUGUGUGUGUGUGUGUGUGUGUGUGUGUGUGUGUGUGUGUGUGUGUGU
Molecule: unclassified non-coding RNA, 5055 nt
Filed under: Portunus trituberculatus (swimming crab)
Lineage: Eukaryota; Metazoa; Arthropoda; Malacostraca; Decapoda; Portunidae
Description: zinc finger MYM-type protein 3-like, transcript variant X10
Source: RNAcentral